This 517-nucleotide ribosomal RNA is filed under the name Eutropis madaraszi. RNAcentral describes it as "partial 16S ribosomal RNA". It matches the Rfam family "Bacterial large subunit ribosomal RNA", at positions 1850 to 2617 of the family's 2925-position model. Lineage: Eukaryota; Metazoa; Chordata; Lepidosauria; Squamata; Scincidae. The record is from RNAcentral.
AGGUCCCGCCUGCCCAGUGAAGUAAAUUAAACGGCCGCGGUAUUCUAACCGUGCAAAGGUAGCGUAAUCACUUGUCUUCUAAAUAAAGACCUGUAUGAACGGCUAAAUGAGGACAAGCCUGUCUCUUAUAACUAAUCAGUGAAACUGAUCUACCAGUACAAAAGCUGGUAUACACACAUAAGACGAGAAGACCCUGUGGAGCUUAAGACAAAACACUACAUUUACCUCACAUAGUGUGGCAUCUUUAGUUGGGGCGACUUCGGAACAAAACAAAACUUCCGAGCAGAGAUCUCACCAGUCUAACUAAGGCAAACAGGCCAAAGUACUAAACUGACCCGGCCACGCCGAUCAACGAACCAAGUUACCCCAGGGAUAACAGCGCUAUCUUCUUCAAGAGUCCAUAUCGACAAGAAGGUUUACGACCUCGAUGUUGGAUCAGGACACCCCGGUGGUGCAGCCGCUACCAAAGGUUCGUUUGUUCAACGAUUAACAGUCCUACGUGAUCUGAGUUCAGACG